This is a long non-coding RNA of Girardinichthys multiradiatus, 813 nucleotides long. RefSeq lists it as uncharacterized. The transcript is spliced from 3 exons. The record is from RefSeq and is a predicted model, not a curated record. Lineage: Eukaryota; Metazoa; Chordata; Actinopteri; Cyprinodontiformes; Goodeidae.
GAUUCAUGAAUUGGGACAGCCUUUGUCGCCGCGCUGUAACGUAAUCGGCCUACAAAUACGGCCUUCGAAGCAGCGCCGUAGAAAGAGAGAGUUACGACACUCCCAUUGACUUCUAUAGAAAGAAUGGAAUGCGGAAGUCACGUGGUUCAUGGAGCUGCUAAUAGUUCCAAACACCAGCAGCUCCAGCAUUGAACGUAGUUCAUUCUCGGUGCUUCGUAAGGAUUUUUUACGGUAAACCACACGAAAAUGGCUUAAGUGAACUGCUGAACCUUUUUGCAUACAAAGCACCACAAAGAGUAUCCAUGGCAUUUGGGAGCUCCAUGACAGAUUUAUUGGACCUUGUUCUGAAAAGCUUUUCAACUUUCUGGACCAGACUGAAGGCUUCAUGUGAUGGCCGACACAGCACCCCUGGUUUGAAUUCCUUCAGUAUCCAUAGGGUACUGUGCUCUCCUUCCAAAGUGUCAUCAUUUUGCUUAAUUGAACUUGAGCAUCCAUCACAGAUGUUGGAAUGUUUGAUGACUUUAUUCACAAUGUAUCCUGUAAGAUGGUACAGAAUACAUGUUUCGCUGUUGGUGAGGUCAGGAGUAUCUGUGUCUCCAAUCAGCUGCUCCACACGAAGGCCAGGACUGGGAAAUGUCUCCUUAAUGUCCAGGAACUCUGCCAGAAGACUGCCGCCAUCCUCCUGAUAGCUUUCUGAUUUUACAGUUGUAAGAAACUGCCCAACUGAGAUUGAUCUCAGUGCCUGGUGAAACUUGACUGGUGUUGGGACUGGAUUCCUUUACCUUAUGCAGCUGAACGAGCUUUCAAGGCAGU